Long non-coding RNA from Pipra filicauda (Wire-tailed manakin), 266 nucleotides. RefSeq lists it as uncharacterized. The record is from RefSeq and is a predicted model, not a curated record. The transcript is spliced from 3 exons. Lineage: Eukaryota; Metazoa; Chordata; Aves; Passeriformes; Pipridae.
CAACUUUUGUCAGGAGGACAAGUAAUUUCUUUGAGAUAUCCUCCAAAGUAUAAGAUAAAACAAGAUACUUCAUAGAUUUUACAAGGGAAGAUGACAGAAGGCAGCAGAGUUACUCCUCCCACUGGGGAGCUACUUCAUCCAAAACACAGGAGAGAGAGGUUCAAGUUGCAGUAGCCUGCACAGCUGAAUGAGAACACUGCUGAUGAUCUGUAGGAGCCAGAAGCUGCUUGAAGAUCUCCCCUCAAGGCUUGCUGCUUAAAUAAAGG